GACGGGGCCCGCACAAGCGGAGGAACAUGUGGUUUAAUUCGAUGAUACGCGAGGAACCUUACCUGGGCUUAAAUGGGAGUGACGGCUGUCGAAAGAUGGUUUUCUUCGGACACUCUUCAAGGUGCUGCAUGGUUGUCGUCAGCUCGUGCCGUGAGGUGUCGGGUUAAGUCCCAUAACGAGCGCAACCCUUACCGUUAGUUACCAUCAGGUUAAGCUGGGGACUCUAGCGGGACUGCCACCGUAAGGUGAGAGGAAGGUGGGAUGACGUCAAAUCAGCACGGCCCUUAUGUCCAGGGCUACACACGUGUUACAAUGGCCGGUACAAAGGGCAGCUACUUCGCGAGAAGAUGCUAAUCUCGAAAGCCGGUCUCAGUUCGGAUCGAAGUCUGCAACCCGACUUCGUGAAGCUGGAUUCGCUAGCAAUCGCGCAUCAGCCAUGGCGCGGUGAAUACGUUCCCGGGCCUU
Molecule: ribosomal RNA, 465 nt
Filed under: uncultured Sphingobacteriales bacterium
Lineage: Bacteria; Pseudomonadati; Bacteroidota; Sphingobacteriia; Sphingobacteriales
Description: bacterial SSU rRNA
Rfam family: Bacterial small subunit ribosomal RNA
Source: RNAcentral